GAAAACGGGGAGCUCGAAUGGACGGGCUGAGAGGCAGGUUUUUCCUGCGACCCAUUUACCUGAUCUGGGUAAUGCCAGCGGAGGGAAGA
RNAcentral lists this non-coding RNA (89 nucleotides) under uncultured Lawsonibacter sp. The record is from RNAcentral. Lineage: Bacteria; Bacillati; Bacillota; Clostridia; Eubacteriales; Oscillospiraceae.